Molecule: ribosomal RNA, 844 nt
Filed under: uncultured organism
Description: bacterial SSU rRNA
Rfam family: Bacterial small subunit ribosomal RNA
Source: RNAcentral
GUAGGUGGCAAGCGUUAUCCGGAAUUACUGGGCGUAAAGCGUACGUAGGCGGUUCGGAAAGUCUGUCGUGAAAUCUCUCGGCUUAACUGGGAGCGGUCGAUCGAAACUUCCGGACUUGAGGAGCGUAGAAGUGAGCGGAAUUCCCGGUGUAGCGGUGAUAUGCGUAGAUAUCGGGAGGAACACCAGUGGCGAAAGCGGCUCACUAGGCGCCACCUGACGCUGAGGUACGAAAGCGUGGGGAGCGAACCGGAUUAGAUACCCGGGUAGUCCACGCCGUAAACGAUGGAUGCUAGACGUGGGGGGUAAUCGACCCCUUCUGUGUCGAAGCUAACGCAUUAAGCAUCCCGCCUGGGGACUACGGCCGCAAGGCUAAAACUCAAAGGAAUUGACGGGGGCCCGCACAAGCAGCGGAGCGUGUGGUUUAAUUCGAUGCGACGCGAAGAACCUUACCUGGACUUGACAUGCUUCGGACCGCGGUUGAAAGAUCGCCUUCCCUUCGGGGCCGUUGCACAGGUGCUGCACGGCUGUCGUCAGCUCGUGCCGUGAGGUGUUGGGUUAAGUCCCGCAACGAGCGCAACCCUCGCCGUUAGUUGUAUUUUUCUAGCGGGACCGCUGCGGAUAACGCAGAGGAAGAUGGGGACGACGUCAAGUCAGCGUGGCCCUUACGUCCAGGGCUACACACACGCUACAAUGGUCGGUACAACGGGUCUGCGACACCGCGAGGUGAAGCUAAUCCCUUAAAGCCAGCCUCAGUUCAGAUUGCAGGCUGAAACUCGCCUGCAUGAAGUUGGAGUUGCUAGUAACCGCAGGUCAGCACACUGCGGUGAAUACGUUCUCGGGCCUU